Molecule: ribosomal RNA, 477 nt
Filed under: uncultured bacterium
Lineage: Bacteria
Description: partial 16S ribosomal RNA
Rfam family: Bacterial small subunit ribosomal RNA
Source: RNAcentral
ACUCAAAGGAAUUGACGGGGACCCGCACAAGCAGCGGAGCGUGUGGUUUAAUUCGACGCAACGCGAAGAACCUCACCUAGAUUUGACAUGGAGCUGCAAGCCCUGGAAACAGGGUCGCCUUCGAGGGUGCUUCACCGGUGCUGCAUGGCUGUCGUCAGUUCGUGUCGUGAGAUGUUGGGUUAAGUCCCGCAACGAGCGCAACCCUCGUCGCCAGUUGCACGUAUCUGGCGAGACUGCCCUUCGGGGAGGAAGGUGGGGAUGACGUCAAGUCCGCAUGGCCCCUACGUCUAGGGCUACACACACGCUACAAUGGCCGUUUCUAAUGCGUCGCGCGUGGGUAACCACAAGCCAAUCGCCAAAGACGGUCGCAGUGCAGAUCGGGGGCUGAAACUCGCCCCCGUGAAGGCGGAGUUGCUAGUAACCGCGUAUCAGCAUGGCGCGGUGAAUACGUACCCGGGUCUUGUACACACCGCCCGU